RNAcentral lists this ribosomal RNA (253 nucleotides) under uncultured bacterium. RNAcentral's name for it is "partial 16S ribosomal RNA". It matches the Rfam family "Bacterial small subunit ribosomal RNA", at positions 524 to 776 of the family's 1533-position model. The record is from RNAcentral.
UACGUAGGGUGCAAGCGUUAAUCGGAAUUACUGGGCGUAAAGCGUGCGCAGGCGGUGAUGUAAGACAGGUGUGAAAUCCCCGGGCUCAACCUGGGAACUGCAUCUGUGACUGCAUUGCUGGAGUGCGGCAGAGGGGGAUGGAAUUCCGCGUGUAGCAGUGAAAUGCGUAGAUAUGCGGAGGAACACCGAUGGCGAAGGCAAUCCCCUGGGCCUGCACUGACGCUCAUGCACGAAAGCGUGGGGAGCAAACAGG